AAGAAAGGCGGCCAUGGUGGAAAGUUUUACUUGGGCCGGCGACGGAAGUUAUUCUUCUAAGAAAGAAGAAGCUGAUGUUGUUGUUGUUAAUGCAAAUGACCCUAAUUUUGAUGAACCGGAAGAGAAUCCGAUUGAUGAAUCUUAGAUUUUGAUUAUGAAUGAUCUGAAUUGUUAAUGUAAAUAUUUGAAGAAUUUGGUAAUGUUUGGUGAUUUUAUGUAGAAAAAAAAACUCUCCUUUUCAGCCAUAUCCAUCCCCUGCCCAAUCCCUUUUUCUUUCUUUUUCACAAUCUAUUUUCAUCUAUUUAGAUGAUCUUGGGCACCUCCUUGAGUCCACUAAUCACUGACGGAGGGAGAGAGCGGCGCUGGUGGUGCUCGCCGGGCACCACUAAUACGCAGUGUAGGGAGAGAGAGAGUGCGGCUGGUCAGUGGAGAUGAGAACGAGGUGGGUGAGGGUGCGAGGAUCUAAUCAUGGCGGCGAAAAUGGUGAUGGUGUGUGGCGGAGAUGAAGGCGAAAAUGGUGAUGGUGUUCGGCUAGAUCUGAUGCGGUAGCUUAGGUUGUUGGUUUGUGAUGUUAGAGGAGGAAAGGAAAAUGGUGAUGAUGUGCGGCGGAGAUGAAGGCGGAAGGAAUAUGAGUGGCUUCGCCGGCAAAAAUGGUGACGACGGCGACAGCCUGGUUCACGUGAACCAAUGGGAAUGGAAGAAAAUGUAAUCGCUUUUACUUUAAAGAAUAUAAUUAAAUUUUUAUUAUUUUACCUUUAAUUAAACAAUUUUGAUUAAUAAUUUUAAAAAUAAUUAUGACAUGGCAUUAAUAUAUCUGAUGUGGAUAUGACAUGUCAUUUAUGUAAAGGAGAGUGAGCUACACACAUGAUUGGAGG
Molecule: long non-coding RNA, 875 nt
Filed under: Solanum tuberosum (potato)
Lineage: Eukaryota; Viridiplantae; Streptophyta; Magnoliopsida; Solanales; Solanaceae
Description: long non-coding RNA (STUB_LNC005244)
Source: RNAcentral